UAGCGAUAAUCAUGACCUAACCACACAUUAUAUUAGUCGCUACUCAUUGAGAACUCGAAUACGGUGCAUUUCAGCGGACAAUGAAUGAAGUGGCGCUCGAGGGCGGGCGCCCGCCCCCUUACAGGCGGCAGCGAUUUUUACAAAGAACUCCCUCAUUUAAGAAAAUAUACAUAAUAAUGUAAAAUCUAAGGUGUCAUUAAUAUUUAGGUAAACUUACGCAGAUUUUUUUAAACUGCAAACAAAAAGUAUGAAAAUGUGUCUGCAUUUAGAUCGAUUAUCGCACACUUUUGACUCUCAUAACUCGCGGCAAGCAACCCCUCGCGCCCGCCCCGCCCUCUCGACCAGCCGAGUGCUGACUGUGUGGUCGUCGAGUCAGCCGGAGGCCUUCGCGGCGCUGACACCGCAGUCUGCUGCGCGGGAAUUUAUAAAGUUUCGAGAUGGACACGGAAGAGUUCAGGGUUCGAGGGAAGGAGAUGGUGGAUUACAUCUGCACGUAUAUGAACACGCUGCGUAAGCGGCGCGUGACGCCGUCGGUGGAGCCGGGCUACCUGCGCGCCGCGCUGCCGGCCGAGGCCCCGCAGCACCCCGAGGACUGGGACACGGUCAUGGACGACGUGGAGAAGAAGAUCAUGCCCGGCGUCACGCACUGGCAGCAUCCGCGCUUCCACGCCUACUUCCCAUCGGGCAACGCGUAUCCCUCCAUCUUGGGCGAUAUGCUGUCUGCUGGCAUCGGGUGCAUUGGAUUCUCAUGGGCAGCCAGCCCGGCCUGCACAGAGCUGGAAAUCAUUAUGCUGGAUUGGAUGGGUAAAGCGAUCGGGCUGCCGCCGGCGUUCCUCGCGCUCGAACAGGGGAGUAUGGGCGGCGGCGUUAUUGAGGGUUCAGCCAGCGAAUGCGUGCUAGUGUCUAUGCUGGCCGCCCGCGCCAACGGCAUCAAGCGCCUCAAGCACCAGUUCCCCAAUGUGGACGAAGGCCUCCUGCUCUCCAAGCUCAUCGCCUACUGCUCCAAGGAGGCCCACUCCUGCGUCGAGAAGGCCGCCAUGAUCUGCUUCGUCAAACUACGCAUCUUACAGCCCGAUGAACACGGCUCGCUGAGAGGCGACACUCUUAAGCAGGCGAUGGAAGAAGACGAAGAGGCGGGUCGCGUACCGUUCUUCGUAUCCCUGACGCUGGGCACGACCUCCUGCUGUUCAUACGACGACCUUCCCGGGAUCGGACCCAUCGUCCGCAAGUUCCCCUGCGUAUGGCUACAUGUAGACGCGGCCUAUGCGGGUUCUGCGUUCCUCUGUCAAGAGCACAAGCAUCAUCUGGCUGGGGUCGAAUACGCGGAUAGCUUCAACACUAACACCAACAAGCUCAUGCUUACGAACUUCGACUGUUCCCUGCUGUGGGUUACCAACAGGUACCUGCUGACAUCAGCGUUAGUGGUGGAUCCGCUGUACCUCCAGCACUGCUACGACCACACGGCCAUCGAUUACCGCCACUGGGGUAUCCCGCUGAGCCGGCGGUUCCGCUCGCUCAAGCUGUGGUUCAUGCUGCGCAGCUAUGGCAUCAGCGGCCUACAGCGCUACGUGCGCCGCCACUGCGAGCUGGCCAAGUACUUCGAGCAACUGGUUAGAAAGGACGACCGGUUCGAAGUCUGCAACAAAGUCACACUGGGUCUCGUGUGCUUCCGACUAGUGAGUGGCGGCGAGAAUCCCUCGGAGCAAGACGAGAUCAACAAGAAACUGCUGACCACAAUGAAUGCGUCCGGGAAAAUCCACAUGGUGCCUGCGAAUGUGCGCGAUCGCUUCGUCAUCCGCUUCUGUGUUGUGGCGCAGCACGCUACACGCGAAGACAUUGGAUCUCAACGAGGAGCGAGCUCGACGGCACCGCGCCGCACUCGCCCACAAACGCUCAUUCUUCGUGCGUAUGGUCAGCGACCCCAAGAUCUACAAUCCGGCCAUCAACAAGACCCCUCCACCCGUGCCGGCCACACCGGGCUCUCCACCCCCGGCACCCGCGCCGCAGACCCCGGACACGCCGUGCGACGACGGCGUGCAGCUUGAACCGCCCACGCCAAAACAAGCAUCCUGGAUCAGCUGGCCGCUGGCGUUCUUCUUCCAGAGCGUUGACCACGACGCAAACGAUUUACCAUUAAGGUUCCGUCACCUAGACACGAUGGUGCGGCUGAAGAGUCCCGGCGCGGCGGGGCGGCGCGG
Molecule: unclassified non-coding RNA, 2198 nt
Filed under: Leguminivora glycinivorella
Lineage: Eukaryota; Metazoa; Arthropoda; Insecta; Lepidoptera; Tortricidae
Description: tyrosine decarboxylase, transcript variant X2
Source: RNAcentral